RNAcentral lists this ribosomal RNA (382 nucleotides) under uncultured bacterium. RNAcentral describes it as "bacterial SSU rRNA". It matches the Rfam family "Bacterial small subunit ribosomal RNA", at positions 30 to 416 of the family's 1533-position model. The record is from RNAcentral.
AUUGAACGCUGGCGGCAUGCCUUACACAUGCAAGUCGAACGGCAGCGGGCCUUCGGGUGCCGGCGAGUGGCGAACGGGUGAGUAAUGCAUCGGAACGUGCCAUUGAGUGGGGAUAACGUAGCGAAAGUUACGCUAAUACCGCAUAUUCUGUGAGCAGGAAAGCAGGGGACCGCAAGGCCUUGCGCUCUUUGAGCGGCCGAUGUCAGAUUAGCUAGUUGGUGAGGUAAAGGCUUACCAAGGCGACGAUCUGUAGCGGGUCUGAGAGGAUGAUCCGCCACACUGGAACUGAGACACGGUCCAGACUCCUACGGGAGGCAGCAGUGGGGAAUUUUGGACAAUGGCGCAAGCCUGAUCCAGCCAUGCCGCGUGAGUGAAGAAGGCC